Molecule: long non-coding RNA, 388 nt
Filed under: Elaeis guineensis (African oil palm)
Lineage: Eukaryota; Viridiplantae; Streptophyta; Magnoliopsida; Arecales; Arecaceae
Description: long non-coding RNA (EGUI_LNC025268)
Source: RNAcentral
CCUGGGAUGUUGUAUGCCAGUUGUUACGGGAUCGUAAUCUUGGUAUUUAGUCCUUGGUCACACACGAGAGGUCCUGAUUAUUUGUUAUGUGGCUAGAUUUCUUCUUGACUAUGAUAAUCUGUAGAGCACGGUGAUGAAGGCUAAGUACGAUAUGUGCCUGUGAACAGUAUGGUUCAGAUAAGGAGGAGUUGCUCUUUCUUACAGAGGUUUGCAUACGUGCCCCUGAUGUGACUCUUCAGAUGAUAUGGCUCAUGACAGAGGACAAUUGGUCGGUGAACUUUCUGAUGGACUCAUAUGCUUGUUAUUGAGCUAAUGGCCAAUCUUUAUUAGCACUGAGAUAGAUUAUUCGAUAAGAGUAUGUGAUCUUCUUCAUUUGGAUGGUAGGGGA